Molecule: ribosomal RNA, 466 nt
Filed under: uncultured bacterium
Lineage: Bacteria
Description: partial 16S ribosomal RNA
Rfam family: Bacterial small subunit ribosomal RNA
Source: RNAcentral
GAUGAACGCUGGCGGCGUGCUUAACACAUGCAAGUCGAACGGAAAGGCUCCUGCUUGCAGGGGUACUCGAGUGGCGAACGGGUGAGUAACACGUGGGUGAUCUGCCCUGCACUUCGGGAUAAGCUUGGGAAACUGGGUCUAAUACCGGAUAGGACCGCAUUUUGGAUGGUGUGGUGGAAAGUUUUUUCGGUGUGGGAUGAGCUCGCGGCCUAUCAGCUUGUUGGUGGGGUAAUGGCCUACCAAGGCGUCGACGGGUAGCCGGCCUGAGAGGGUGUACGGCCACAUUGGGACUGAGAUACGGCCCAGACUCCUACGGGACGCAGCAGUGGGGAAUAUUGCACAAUGGGCGCAAGCCUGAUGCAGCGACGCCGCGUGGGGGAUGACGGCCUUCGGGUUGUAAACUCCUUUCGCUAGGGACGAAGAGUAAUUGACGGUACCUGGAGAAGAAGCACCGGCUAACUACGUG